This 9458-nucleotide long non-coding RNA is filed under the name Homo sapiens (human). Its description in RNAcentral is "HSALNT0298199". The record is from RNAcentral. Lineage: Eukaryota; Metazoa; Chordata; Mammalia; Primates; Hominidae.
CACCUCUCUCUUCUUUUUGUGGAAUUUCCCUGCCCUCACAUAAAAUCAGUUGGAAUUUCACAGAAGCACUGAAAAAUCUGGCUUCAUGUGAGAUGCUGAAAGAGCCUGUGGCAGUGAAGUCAAGUUCUGUGCCCAGCCCCCUCCUUCAGCCACUAGAUGACACUGCCUCCCCCCAAUAACGAAGUUGUUAGCAGUUCUCAACAAGACAGAAACAUGCAAGACUUCUGAAAUUUGUUACCUUUGGUACUUUUUGGGGUGGGCGGGGGUGGAGUGGGGAGAUGGGGAAAAAAGCGUAAUUAGACUUACCAGAGAUAAACAUUUUAAAAGCUUUCAUGUCUAGUUCAGGACCAAACAUGUUAUAAUGUAGUAUUUUCUGGGCUCUUUUUUGCCUUUUUAUUGAAUUUUUAGUAACUGGUCAGAGCUAUUACAUUACCAGAAUCAUGAAUACAAAGUCAGCUUAAGCUUUUCUCCCCACCAACCCCCCUCAAAUACAAGGCAUGGCUGGUAGUUUAAGAAUUCAUCAAAUCUGACCUUCAAAUAGUUAAUUUAAGCAUGAUUUCUCUGGCUUUCUUACUCCUCCCACUGAUAAGAGUUUCUUCUUCUGGGGUAACUGCCUCUAGUAAAAAUGCUGCAAUGCAGUUAAGAUGCUGGUGUGAGGACUGUAAAUUAUGCGUUAGGGGAAUUUUGCUAUGCUGCACUUCAGCCUGGAAGCAAAGGUUUUUUUCUGUUCAAGUCCACAACUUUUGCUUGCCAGUGAGAUGGCAGAGCAUUACGUGGGUGCCUUUUGGCCAUCUGGAUCCAUAGGCACCCGAAGACAACACUAAUUCCAUGAUUAGGAAACUCUCAUCACUUCUACUAACAUAAUUGUUUUUUAACUACUUCAGAAUAGAUUCUGAUGAAUAAAGCUACUGAUCUCUUUAAACACUUCAUAGAUUCACUACCUAGAAUUAUGUAUUCAUUCUUUGGAUAUGGUGUCAUAAAGUCUAGGUACAAGUUCAAAAACAUGCCCCGUGUAACAUACUUGUUAAAAUCCAGUGUCACCUCCCAUCAAAGCCUGAUCAGCAAUUUCAGUACCUCAAUCACUCAGAAAAUAUUUCCAAAUUUAACACAUAGCAAGUAUCAAGCUCUCCACUAAGAAGACUAUGAAAUAAAUACAAUAUACAGUAUUUCCCUUUGAAGACCUUUUAACUUACAUGGGACUACACAAAAGUGUGUGUGUGUGUGUGUGUGUGUGUGUGUGUGUGUUUAUGGUUGAUGAUCAUAAGCCAACAAGGUACAGAUAAGACUUACUUUAGGAAGUAGGGACUGUUAUGGAAGAAAUGUUUGGAGAAGGCUUCACAACAUAGAUAGAACUCAAGAUGUGUACGACAGCUAAGGUUUGGGUUUUCAAAGCCAAAAAGAGAGCUUGGCCUUGAUGAGGCAUCUAAUAAAGGGCAACUGGGAGUUUUUCAACGAAAUGUCACUAUUAAUGUAGUUAUUUUAAGACUAUGUGUUUGACAGCAGUAACAAAGGCAUAUAGAAUAGGGAGACCUGAAUGAUGACGCUCAUCUGUAAACUUGUGUAUUUAAGAAACUGUGAUAAUUUUCAUUAUGAGUGUUCAUUUUCCCUGGGUGGUAGAGAUGUCAUCUUGGUCAGUUUCCUGGGGUUGCUUCUUGCACUUGGCUGGCACAGUGAUGCUAAGGCAGUGAGUGCUUGGCUGGGGUUGGAACACCUGGUCCUUGAUCAUCAAUCCACACAGAUCUCUGGGUCAUCACAAUGGUGCUCUUGGAUGGUGUCUUGGUCUGUUCUGGUUGCUGUAACAAAAUGCCACAGCUAUUUCUCACAGUUUGGGGAAGAGAGAUCAAGGCACCAGCAGAUUCAGUGUCUGGUGAGGGCCUAUUCCUAAUACAUACUGUCUUUCUGCCUCACAAUGUGAGAGGCCAAACAAGCUCCCUUGGCCAUUUUAAUUUUUAUUUUAUUUACUUUUUUUGAGAUAGAGUCUUGCUCUGUCACGCAGGCUGGAAUGCAGUGGCGGGAUCUCAGCUCACUGCAACCUCCGCCUCCCAGCUUCAAGUAAUUCUCCUGCCUCAGCCUCCUGAAUAGCUGGAAUUACAAGCACCUGCCACCACGCCCAGCUAAUUUUUGUAUUUUUAGUAGAGACAGGGUUUCACCAUGUUGGCCAGUCUGGUCUUGAACUCCUGACCUCGUGAUCCACCCGUCUCGGCCUCCCAAAGUGCUGGGAUUACAGGCGUGAGCCACCGCACCCGGCCACCUUGGCCGUUUUUAUAAGGGCCCUAAUCCCAUUCAUGAGGCCCAUGCCCUCACAGUCUAAUCAUCUCCCAAAGGCCCCGAUUCUUAAUAUCACCAUGUUGGAGGUUAGGAUUUCAACAUAUGAAUUUGGUGGGGAAAAGGGGGUGAGCGGGAGUGGCACAAACAUUUCAGAUCACAGCAGAUGGCUAACUUGUCUACUCUAGUGCUCCUCUUGGGUGCAUGGGAAAUCACUCUCCUAUUUCCCAUGAAGUAUUUCAGUCAUUUCUCCCACACACUGAAUUUCUAUUACACAGGGAGUCUGGGGGUCAAUGUAAAACUAGGACAUAGGUCAGCCUUGUUCUGAAUCCCCUCAAACCCAUGGGCGGGGUUGGGUUUAGUUAUGUUGUCUCACUCAUCCAAGGUUCAGUCUGGAAGGAAACUAUGGCACAUGCCUCUUUCUCAGAGAAAUACCCUCAACUUCUCUCUGGCUUUCCUUCCAAUUCUCCUUUAUCACAGGUCUGGAGAAUCUUUUCUGGCAGAGGGAGUUGUGGCUCCUGCAUCAUCCUGAAUUUGCUAGGACUGGAGCCCUGAGUCCCCCAAGUCCUUAGGCUUUUGCAAUCCAAAACCCUAGGCUUUUGAAUCUAAAUUCAGGGGACUUUUUGCUCCUAUUCUGCAAUAUCAUUUCUUCUCUAAGUCAAUGCCACUGACUAAGUGGGAAGUUAACGGUAAGGGGUAAGAGGAAACACAGAGUUGGAAUGUAUGAUCCCAGGCUAAUAUCUCAAAAUUUGAACUCACUCUGCUGUUGAGAGUCUACUGCACAAAACCGGACAUAAAGACUUAAGGGCUGAGUGGCAUUAAGAAUGGAAAUAAAAGAUUAGACAAGAGAUAUGGCGAAUGAAGAAAUAACAAAAUCUUGUUUGGGGAAUAAACACAAGGCUCAAGUGGGGGGCGGGGGGGAAUGAACUGGAAGGACUGGAUGGAGGUGAUGAUGUCAGUUGUCCUUGGACAUAUUUUUUAUGGUUCAUAUUCCCUCUCCUUUCUCUUCACUCGCCCCAAUUACCGUGUCCUGUUAAUUAAAAGUUCUUCAAAUCCAUGUCCCUCCUUCCCAUUGCCACCGUCACUGCCCUUGUUCAUUCCAGUAACAUCUCUCCUCUGGACCCUUUAUUGCAUCAGGCGCCUCAGUUCCCUCUGUCUCCUCAGCCCCUUCUAGUGUAUUCUCUAUUUAGCUAAAAAAUGAACUUUCUACAGCAAAACUCGGAUCAUGUCAGCCAAAAUUCUUCUGACUCACGUGCCUACACAGUGCCGUCUAGCUCCUAGGCUCAUGGGUUUCAUGAUGGGGCCCACUCCUGCCCAUCCACCUUCAUCCCAAGUACUCUAAGGAAAGCUGUAGCUCUGGCUGAACAGAGAGGCAGCAUGGUGGAGUGGUUCUGAGCCUGGACUCACUGCUAGACAGCUUGUUCAUACAUGUCACUUCUGUGAUUCUGUGUCUGGAAUUUAUUCCUUCCGGUGGGUUCUUGGUCUCGCUGACUUCAAGAAUGAAGCUGCAGACCCUCGCCAUGAGUGUUACAGUUCUUAAAGAUGGUGUGUCCGGAGUUUGUUCCUUCAGAUGUUCAGAUGUGUCUGGAGUUUCUUCCUGGGGUAGGUGCAUGGUCUCGCUGACUUCAGGGGUGAAGCCACAGACCUUCGCAGUCAGUGUUACAGCUCUUAAAGGUGGCGCGUCCGGAGUUGUUUGUUCCUCCUGGUGGGUUCAUGGUCUCGCUGACUUCAGGAAUGAAGCCGCAGACCCUUGCAGUGAGUGUUACAGCUCAUAAAGGUAGUGCACAUCCAGAGUCAGGAGCAGCAAGAUUUAUUGUGAAGCGCAAAAGAACAAAGCUUCCACAGUGUGGAAGGGGACCCGAGCGGGUUGCCACUGCUGGCCUGGGUGGCCAGCUUUUAUUCCCUUAUUUGGCCCCGCCCACAUCCUGCUGAUCGGUCCAUUUUACAGAAAGCUGAUUGGUCCAUUUUACAGAGUGCUGACUGGUAUACUUACAAUCCUUUAGCUAGACACAGAGUGCUGAUUGUUGCAUUUACAAUCCUUUAGCUAGACACAGAGCACUGACUGGUGCGUUUUUACAGAGUGCUGAUUGGUGCAUUUACAAUCCUCUAGCUAGACACAGAGCACUGAUUGGUGUGUUUUUACAGAGUCCUGACUGGUGCAUUUACAAUCCUCUAGCUAGACAGAAAAGUUCUCCAAGCCCCCACUCGACCCAGGAAGUCCAGCUAGCUUCACCUCUCAAUUUGGUAUUCUCCUCUGUGGAAUGUCAUUAGAAGGAUUAUAUGAGAAUAUAUUUUAAAGGUACACCUGGUACAUAGUGAGAGCUAUGGAAACAUUCGUUAAGUCCAAGAAAAAUUGUCCAUUGGACUGUCAAAGUCUCUCCUACCCCAGUGAAUUUCAACUGUGGUCUUUAUUAUUUAUUUAUUUAUUGAGACAGUCUCACUCUGUGGCUAGGCUGGAGUGCAAUAGCACAAUCUGGGCUCACUGCAACCUCCACCUCCCGGUUUCAAGGUAUUCUCCUGCCUCAGCCUCCCAAGUGGCUGGGAUUACAGGCACACACCACCACACCUGGCUAAUUUUUUGCAUUUUUAGUAGUGACGGGAUUUCACCGUGUUGGCCAGGAUGGUCUCAGUCUCCUGACCUUGUGAUCCACCGGCCUCAGCCUCCCCAAGUGCGGAGAUUACACGUGUGAGCCACCAUUCCCAGCCUAUUUUUUUUAUUUUUGAGACAAGGCUUAGCUCCAUUGCCCAGGCUGGAGUGCAGUGGCAUGAUCAAAGCUCACUGAAACCUCUGCCUCCCAGGCUCAGGCGAUCCUCCUUCCUCAGCCUCCUGAUUAGCUGGGACUACAGGUGCAUGCCACCACGCCCAGCUAAUGUGUUGCUCUUGUUGUAGAGAUGGGGUUUCAUCACAUUGCCAAGGUUGGUCUCAAACUCUUGGGCUCGAGUGAUCCACCUACCUCAGCCUCCUAAACUGCUGGGAUUACAGGCAUGAGCCACCAUGCCCAGCUCUGCACUGUUAGUCUUAAGCCCAUUUUGGGAACUUUGCUUUCCCUUGGUCAAUCUUUCCUCUUCCUUCUAGAAGCUAAAAUGUCAGGUUCUCUGUGAAGCCUUCCUACUGCACUUUGUUCAGCUCCCUAUUAAAAUUUUAUUGGAUUAUUUUAUUAGCUCCCUGUGGCUGCUAUGACAAAUUACCACAAAACAGGUGUCUUAAAACAACAGAAAUUUAUUCUCUCAUAGUUCUAGAGGCCAGAAGUCUGAAAUUAGAUUAACAGGCUGAAGUGAGGGUAUUGGCAAAGCCACACUCCCUCCCGAGGCUCUAGGGGAAAGGUGUUCCUUGCCUCUUCCAGCUCUGGUGGCUGCCAGCAUUCCUUAGCCCAUCACUGUAUCCCUCUCAUCACUGCCUCCAUAGUCACAUUGCUGCCUCCUCUCCUGUCUGUGUCAAAUUUCCUUCUGUCCUUCAUCAGAAAACUUGCAACUGCACAGAGAACCCACCUGGAUGUUCCAGGAUACUCUCACUCUCUCAAGAUCCUUAAAACACAUUUGCAAGACCCUUUGAAGCCAUUUAUAGAUUCCAGGGAUUGGAACCUAAUAUCUAUGAGUGCCAACAUUCAGCACUUCAUAACUGUUUUCAUGUAUGUUGGUCUUUACACCUUGGUAUGACUAGGAUCUAUCACAGUGUAAGUACAUAGUAUGUCCUCAAUAAGUGACAUGUAGACAUAGAUGCAGAACUAUACAGCAUCUAGGCCCUUUGCUCACGUUCACUGGGAUACCUUCUUUGCUAAGGCUUCAUUUCCCUAGGCCAGAGCUAUUUCUUUCAUGUGCUAAUCUGUGGUUGGAAGGAUCUUUUACUCAUAAAUUAGAUCAACUUCUAGGUUAGAGAAAUUAAGCAAAGGAGUUUUCGUCCUUGUACCACUUCUCCUGAGUUUCAGUGAGGCAAAGUAACCAAAAACACUCCUUUCAAAUUCCAUACCUCCUACGUUAUGGAGCAGAGGGCGUAGGAAAAGUGGAUGGGUCCUGGCUGCUCAAAGACUUCACGGAAUGUGAGAUUACAGAGUGGCAGAGUGACAAGUAUGGGCUUCAUGAAGAGCGCUGUCAUCAGUCUCCCCGGGCUGGUUUAUUGCCAUUCUUUGGCUGUUUAUUUUAAACACAGUUUUCUUAGUAAUUUAAGCUCCUAAAUUCAUGGCUACUGCUUCAGUGACCAUUUCCCCAUCUCGAGUCAUUUAAGUUCAUCACAGGGAUUUUUCUGAAAUGAGGCGGUUUCUUUUCCAGUGUUCUCAAAUCACAGUCACCUCCACCCUCAAGAAUAAGCCAGCACUCAUCUGGAAAGAUAAUUCGGUAGCUAUGUAAUUGCUUUUUUCUCAGCUGUGGAAAUCUUUCCCAAUUAAAGUGGAAAAAGUUACUUGCAAUAAAAAAAGUAAACAGGUAGAUUACUUUGCACAAUUAAUCAUUGAAACAGUAAACUGUCUACUGUAUUGUAAUUGUUUACUUCUACGUCAGUCUUUUCAUCUUUUUGCUGGUUAGAGCCCCCAGAAAUCAGAAUGAGAUUCCAUGACGUUUAUUCAACCUUUAAAUAUUUUUUCCAUUCUCUCUGUGUUCCAGGAGUAGUGAUAAGAGCUGGUGAUGUAAGGGUAACAAAAACAGACUCAUUCCCUGCCCUCAUGGAGCUUGUACAGUCUGGUGGAGGAUGUAAACACUAAUCAGGUCAUCACACAGACAAAUGCAAACUGUCAGUGGUCUCACAUGCCAAGGCUGUUUAUAUACAUGUAAACAGUUAUGAAGUGCUGAAUGUUGGCACCCCAGCCAACCCACAAUGCUGCUGGCAGAUCAGUCUAAAACACUGGACUCAAUGUGCCACCCCUCACUUAAACGCUUUAACUGGCUCUCCCAUGGCCUCUGGGGCAGAACUCACCUCUGGAGAAGAUGCUCUUCAGCUGUUCCUGCCUCAUUUCCUGUCCUCUCUUCCAGAUGCUCAGGGGCCCCCAACUACAAGCUCUGUGCUUUCAGGGUCUUCUGUCUUUGUACGCAGUUCUCUCUGCCCAGAAAACUCUUCUCCCCACCUCCACUUGCAAAAUCCUGUCCAUCCUUCAGGCUCAGCUCUAACGUUACUUGAAUGUGAUGCCUGUCUUGACUGUUUAGCAGGCUAAAGCUGUCACUCCCUGCCUGUACUACCACAGAACAUUUUGUACAAGCCACCAUAACUGCACUUAUCCCAGUGAACUGUGUUUGUUUGCAGCAAAACACUGUGGUUAGGAACAUGGACCUUGAAUUCAGACUGACUUGGAAACCAAAUUCUGCAAUUUAUUGUGUGGCCUUGAAAAUCAUUCCUUCUGGGUCUUAGUUUCCUUCCUAAUUUUGGCAAUGAGGGGCAUAAUACCUAACUCAUUAGCCUGUUGUAAAGAUAAACCAGAUAAUGUGUUUAAUGAUGGAGCACGAUGCCUGGUCAACAAUACUCAAUAACUAAUGGUAUUAUCAAACUUGAAUGUGCCAAAUGCAAGGACCUAGGACUACAUUUUGUCCACUUUUUUUUUUUUUUUUUUUUUGAGACAGAGUUUCGCUCUUCUUGCGCAGGCUGGAGUGCAAUGGUGCGAUUUUGGCUCACAGCAACCUCCACCUCCCAGGUUCAAGCGAUUCUCCUGCCUCAGCCUCCCGAGUAGCUGGGAUUACAGGCAUGCACCACCACACCUGGCUAAUUUUGUAUUUUUAGUAGAGAUGAGGUUUCUCCAUGUUGGUCAGGCUGGUCUUGAACUCUCGACCUCAGGUGAUCCGCCUACCUCGGCCUCCCAAAGUGCUGGGAUUACAGGCGUGAGCCACCACAGCCGGCUGAUGUCCAUCUUUCUAUCCCAGUUGCUGGCCAUAGUCAGUCGAAGUUUCUUAAAAUGCAUAAAUGAAAAUACUAUCAUAACUUCCUUUACUUGAAGACGGGUUAGAGGCUUAUUUAGUUUGCCACUAAUAAGGGCUUUUUUGUUUUCUUUUGAGACAAGGUCCUGCUCUGUCACCCAGGCUGGAGUAUAAUGGAGUCACCACAGCUCACUGCAACCUUGACUUCCCAGGCUCAAGCUAUCCUCCCACCUCAGCACCACUUGAGAGGUGGUUAAUUUCCCAUAGAGACGGGGUCUUUAUGUUGCCCAAGCUGGUCUCCAACUCUCCAAUUCCUGGGCUCAAAUGAUCCUCCCACCUUGGCCUCCCACAGUGUUGGGAUUACAGGGCUGAGCCACCACACCCAGCUGAUAAAGACAUUUUACUGAAAUGCCAAAAAUUCCACUGAUUUUACAUCUCCAAUCAUAUUAAUCCUUUCCCUUUGCUCAACCAGUCCUGAACUUACACAGGUAACUGUUUGAGGUCCUAUUUUGAAGUAGUGGUUUCUGCUAAAUGAUCUCGUCACAAUUUUAGUCUUUACUGCAUGUACAUCAAUUCCAGUCUUUACAUAAUCAUGUGGAACACGGAUUAUAUUUUCCUUUCUCAUAUGAAAAGUAAUAGCGUGCAUGUGUAUAGGAUUUACGUUUCAGGCUUUGUGGGCUUUAAAUCCUUUGACUCCUAACCCAAGUGACUUUUCUAAGAUCACAGUUCGUGGGUGGUCAAGCAUAUUAAAACUACUGCAAACUCUAGCGCAGUGUCCUGGACACUGGCCACAGCAUCGCAUUAUCCCCCAACAGCCUAAAUUCCUUGAAGGCAAGGUUCUCUCUGGCUUCCUCUGCAACGUUCGCAGCAUGCCUCAGAGACUCGGUGAGCUGGGCCGGCCAAUGCAUUUCCUCUUCCGUCCAUGUAAUUCCACUAGAGGAGCAGAGGGCAAACUACGUUCCCAUUAAAGCCACAAGGUUUAAAAACCUCUAACCUUGGAAAAGCACACUUCAACCCUCUGCACACCAAACUUCUCUACUGUGGUUUCCCCUCUGCCGCUUUCUCCUUGGCGUUCCCCGAUCACUGCCUCUAGGGUCUUUACAAGGGACAGCGAACGUAAGGUUUCGGAGCUGGCUUCGCCCCCUUCUAUUUACCGGGGGCUGGUCAUCCUUCGGGCCAGGCUGACUGUCUAGGGGUGGCCCUCGGAUACCUGGUCCCCGCAGGUGACCCCCCUCCCUCCCACCGAGGAGGAGGGCGCGUCCCGCUCGCUCCGUGGAGACGCCGCGGAGGCGCACACGCCUCACGCCUCCUCGCAGAAGCCACAGGGGCUGCGGCUCUUUGUCGCGGCCACACCGGAA